Long non-coding RNA from Camelus dromedarius (Arabian camel), 6658 nucleotides. RefSeq lists it as uncharacterized. The record is from RefSeq and is a predicted model, not a curated record. Lineage: Eukaryota; Metazoa; Chordata; Mammalia; Artiodactyla; Camelidae. The transcript is spliced from 3 exons.
AAGCCUCGGGCGUCCACGAAGCUGUGUCGGUGUCCGGAAGCGCCGGUGUGGCCACAGCCUGGGUCGCGAGGGCCGGUCGGCGUGCCGGCGGGCGUGUCCCCGCCGUAGUGGGCUUCACCCAGAGUGCACGCUUCCCGCCGCCGGGCCCAGCUGGUGCCCACGGCCGCCCCGCAGGACCGUGUUCGUGUGAACGUGGGAGGUGCGGACCACGCCGGGGAACGCUCCCCCGGGGACGGGCGAGACAACGCGAAGAUGGACACACGAGGGGCAGAAGAGCAGCGGGCGCGGAGAGCCCGUGGGGUCUUGAGGGUGGCCGGGACGAAGCCCCAGGCAAGGGAGAGAGGACGGCAGGGCUGGGGUGGGGGGCGCCCUCCUAGGAUAUAGAAGCCGAGGCCUGAGCAGGGAGGGAGCCUGGCCAAGCUGAGUGGCAGAACCCGGUUAGAUGCCCCCACAGCCCUUGCCCCGCACCCUCCGCCCUUUCCCCCAAACCCCCUCCCACCGCACCCCCGCCUCCCACUCACCCCCACUCCAUUCCUCCACAGAGCAGCAGUGACGAGAGGAGCCCAGCCAGGCCCGUUGCUGGUGGCAGGGGUCUGUUAAGGAAGAAAACAGAAAAAGCCCAGACUGCAGAGCCAAUUUCCCAGCGUCCCCCUGCCCAUGUUCCUGGGAGUGUGCCCACAGUCUCUCGGCUAAAAUAUCCUUUGGGACUUCAUCUCACAGAUGAGGCACAAGGCCCCUUGGGGUGGACUCCUGCCAGCCCCUGCUGCCCGUGGCCGAGCCCGGCAGUGGCCUCUGACAUACAAACGCCCCUUUGCUUGGCAAGUCCUCUCCAUUCUCCAAGCCUCAGCUCCCACAUCGCUUCCCCACUCAGGUCCCUGUCGGGUGGCAGUUAGGACUCUCAGUGUUCAUGCCAUCCCUGAAAGGUGUGUGCUCUCCAGGGCCCCCAACAUGUGCAGGGACGCUGCGUGUUUGUGUUUGUGGUUGGGGGUCUGCACAGCUGGCCUUCCUGUCUGUGUCUGCGUGUGGGUCAGCCCAGUUAGGCCUGCUGACCAAGAGAUCUGUAGUUGGAAGUCAAGAGACGAGACAGCACCAGAAAGGAGAGGCAGUGUGGGGAGAUCUUUGAGAGUCUUCCUUAUUCACCAGAGUAAAGAGUAUGGACAAAACCCCUUCUGUAUGUGGUCAAAUGAUUUUUGGCAAGGGCGCCAAGUCCAUUUAAGGGGGAAAGGGCUAUCAUUUCAACAAAUGUGCUGGGUAACCUAAAAACCCACACGUAAAAGAAUGAACUGGAGCCUCACUUCACACCAUGUGAAAAUUAAUUCAAACUAGAUCAAGGACAUGAAUGUAAAACCAAAAACUAUAAAACUGAGAAGAAAACAGGGCACAACCUUCAUGACAUCGGCUUUGGCAGUGAUUUCUUGCACGUGAGACCAAAGGCACAGACAGUAACAAAAAAGACAGGUUGGACUUAAAGAAAAUUUUAAAUGUGUGUGUCAAAAAGAUACCAUCAAUAGUAAAAAGACAAGCCACAGAGUGGGAGAAAAUAUUUAUAAAUCAUAAAACUCUUAAAACUAAACAACAACAAAAAACAACCUAAUUUGAAAGUGAGCAAAAGACGCUAAGAGACAGGUUGCUACAGGAGAUACACAAAUGGCCAAAAAGCGCAUUUAAAAAUGCUUAUCGUCCACGUGUCAGGGACACGCAAAUCAAAACUUGGAGACACCACACACCCAUCAGGAUGGCUACUAUAAUUCUAACAAACAAAAACAUGAUGAGGAACCCUUGUGCGCUGCUGGUAGAAGUGUAAAAUGGUGCACCUGUUGUGGAGAACAGUAUGGUGGUUCCUCAAAAAAUUAAAAGUACAGCUACUGCAGGAUCCAGCAAUUCGACUUCUGGGUGUUUACCCGAGCUAACUGAAAGCGGUGUCUUGAAGAAAUACUUGCACACCACGCUCACAGCAGCAUUAUUCACUAUAGCCAAGAGGGAAGCAGCCCAAGUGUCUCUUGUUGGAUGAAUGGGGUCCCAAGGCAAGUUCUUCGAAGGGAAACUCGGUGCCUCACUCUCCAGCUCAUGAAAUGUGGAUGAGCCCCUCUUCAAGAAAGCCUGCUGUCCGAAGUCCCAGAUCCCACAGGCAGAGGAGCAAGUGUUCCCUGAGGUUUUUUCACUGAGGUAUAAUCGACACGCGACAAGGAGUGCAAACCGUAGAGUUCCACCUGCGGGGUUUUCCAUCCGCGCUCACCCCGGCGGGCGGCAUGGCCCCCUUCCCCGCCUGGCUCCCGGGAGGCUCUCGCGGGCCCCGGCCCCGGUUCCAGGUGAAGGCACUCCAGGCCUGGCCUGUGCCCCAAGUCCAGGUGGACGGCCAGCUGGCACCCAGCAGAGAGGACUGUGGGGCUGGACGCACCCAAGAGCAUUCCGUCUCCCGGCCCCACCCUCCUGUGGGGCCUGGCGGCAAGGACUGACUGAGCCAAGUGGCAGGAAAGGAGGCACUUCCGCCCCAGGCACACAGCGUCCAGCUGUCCCGUCCCAGUGGACACUGAGGGCUCGCCACGCUGGCCAGAGGCCAGGACAUUCAGCCGAACCGGGUGGAGCUUCAGGUUCAAAGGCAGAAGCUGUAGGGCACAGGCAGCAGGGCCCCGUCACCCCGGGCCAGGCCCGCUAGCAGCACACCCUAGGGUCGGUCCCCAGGCUGACCUCCGACCCAGGCCUCUCCAUGUCCAGGCAGGGCCACACAGUCUGUGGAGGUACAGGCCUCGUGGCGGGACGGGCCCGGUUUCCAGGGCCGACCCCCCGCCCAGGCCCCCUCCUGUCUGCAUCUCUGUUUCUGCAUCAGGAGGUUGAAGCUGCUCCCGGUCCCCCUGGAUGCAGUGAGGGGUCAUCAGGUGGAGGGCAGCCAGGGGCCUGAGCACAGGCUGCAUCUUUUCUGCACCCGGGGCCAGACCCAGGUCCAGGCCCCAGCAGCGGAAGGUGGCCCUCCCCGCCUCCCCUCUGCUGCUGUUCUCACUGGUCUGCCGGCCUGUCUGUCCGGGAGUUGCCCUUGGACCCGCUCUUCCUGCCCGUGGAGGAGCAGGCGGCAGGUGUGGAUCAGCGAGCCGCCGCCCCACGCAGGGCCGGGCACCCCAGCGCCCGCCGCCACGCGGCCGCGUGCGGGGAACCACAGAGUUGCCAGCGGGUUCUUCCUCAGCGGGCUCGCUCUUCCUGCCUGGGAACUGGGCCUGAGGGUUGCUGCCCCCUCGGGAGCGUCCUGACCGCUGGCCCGGCCUGGCCCAGGCCCCACGGAGGCCCCAUGGCAACCCUGUGGGGCAGUCCAGUUACAAGUCCCUUUACAGGGCGGGAAACUGAUGCCGAGGGAGAGGAAGUGGCUCCCCGGGGAGUCGGGGUGCAGGGCGGGGUCUGAGCCCAGCCCUGGGCUCUGGGUAGAGAGGGAGACACAGUGCAGGAGGGGCCCUGUGUGGGAGGAGAGGCGCCCCCGCCCCGUGCCUAGCCCCGCGGAGGGUUCAUGGUGGGACUUCAGUCAUGGACAUGUUCAGAAACCCCCGUCUCCUCUCUGUGCCCGGGGACGCCAGCGGGGAGCCUGGGAGGGACUAGGGAGGGACCUCGGGUGCUGGGUGGUGACAGGGCCUGCGCUCCGGCAGCCUCCACGCACCAGGCAGCUGCAGAAACCUGCCCAGAGGCAGAGGUUGGUCUGGCCUGGAGAGCAACUGGAAUCCAAAUUCCCGCCCCAGGGGGUGGGCCAGGCCUGGGCUUGUCGGUGCAGCCUGGCCCCCAGUUCCUCCCCCGCCCCGUGGCGCCCGGCUCUGCAGGCGCUCUGGGACUCUGAGGCCCUGGGAUGUACGGCAGGGCCCAGCCAGGAGAUGCCAUUGCCCCCCACCUGCUAUGACCCCGUGCAGGUGGCUGCAAGCAGGUGGCUGUGUGGGGCCGGAGGCCAUCCUGGGCCCCAGGGUGGGCAUCAGGCCCCAAGGUGUGCAGGACCCCUGACCCCUGACCCCAGGGAGCUCCUGGCCAGGGCAAGAAGCCAAUCAGCAUCUCAUCUCAGGAAGGUCUGGGGCAAUGGGUCGAAUCCAGGUCGGUUCCCUCAGGACACAUGGCAGCACUGGCUGUCACGACAGGGGAGGGGAGGGCACUACUGGCCACUAGAGGGUGGAGACCAGGGAUGCUGGUCGGCGCCCCUGAGUGCCCAAGCCAGCCCCGCAGGGAGACAUCCGCCCAGAAUGCUGACUGCGUCGGUCCAGAGCUUUGAAGGGCGAUGGCCCAUCUGAAGGGGCUGUGGGUCGGGUGGUCAGGGAAGGCCUCUCCGAGGAGGAGAUGUUGUCGUGCAGGGACCAGGCCUGGAAGGUCCGUCCCUUCAUGCUGGUCAUCCCAGUGUCCCGGCAGCCAGAGAAGAGGAGGACCAGCCUCUGGCUCUGCGGUGGGGGAGGGAGAGCAGGCAGGGAUCUGGUGCCAGGCCUGCGGAAUUCCAGAAGGCCGAGGCCUCCUCACCAACCCCCUCCCAGGCUCCUAGCUCCCAGGAGCCGCUGCCACAUUCCUCCCCCUGGGUGGGCAGGGGCUGGGGUCUUGGUGCAUUCCUGGUGGAGAUACGGGGAGGCCCUGAAGGCAGCCUGCGCCAGCCUCCUGCGGGACCCAGAUAACCUUUGUGCGGGCUCUGCUCCACUCAGCUGCCCAAGGCUGGGGCCACAGGGCCUUGCUGAGGACGCUCGGGGUCAGCCAUCGCGAGAGAGCAAGCAUGUGGGCGCACAUCCAGCCAGGAGCAACCUGUCGGGAGGGGGAAUGAGCACCCUGCGGAUAAGGUCUGGACUUACCAGCCCGGCGCGGUCAGCAGGCAGAGCCUCCUGACCCCUGAAGACCCCUGGCUGGUGGGGCCGUGUCGCCUCGGGGUCAUAGUGCUGGGGACAGUGGAGUCCACACGGCCUUUCUGAUCCCUAGUCUCCGUUCUGUAAGCUGGGCUUUUGUGAACAUCAGGUGAGGGGCCUGCCCAGCACUGGGCACAAGCCACCAGAAACAGCAGCUCCUUAAAGACCCACUGGGCACGCGGCCCCGGGAGGCACGGUGGCGCUGCGGUGCUGGGGCCGGGGACGAGGCAGGAAGUCACCAUCAGCCCCUUCAGCUCAGGGGUCCAGAGAGGUUGCACCUCCAGCUUGAGGCCACAGAGCAACCCUGGAGGCGAGAGGCGGCAGGAGGCUGGGCUCCAAGAGAGGGGCGGCUCUCAGCUCCCGGCCUCCGCCUCCCUCGGUACCACUUCCUGGAAGGCCAGGCUCAGACCCCCAGACCCCCUUCAAGAAGGAGACGGCUCCCAGGAGACGCUUCCACCAACCCCCGACGGCGGACCGUCCAGUCUUGUGUGUUUACAUUCCUCUAGGAAAUGUUUCCCCAGGAGGGCCAAGGGACAAAUGUUUUGUAAAUGUUGAAACCCAGGCAAACAGAGGCCUGGCUCCCAGCCCACCCACCACCCCUGCUUUUCCACAGGGCAGAGGGGAGGCCCCAGCAGGGACCCUGGAGGGGAUCCCCGCCUCAGCUGGCCCACCCCCUCUUCCCUUCCAGCCAGAGCAGAGCUGCCGGGACAGGCCCGGUGAGGACUGGGCACAGCACGGGUGGUGCCCCCGAACAUUCCUGUAUUUUCAAGGCCUCUUGUUAAGAAAUUGGGGUGAAGUAGGUGGAAGUGGUUGGGGUGUCACUUGUAUCUGAAACACUGGGGACCCUGGGGAAACCCCCAGUGUCGGGCAGGCCGGGGUGAGGCCUGGUGCCUGAGCGGGCUUCACCCUCAGGCCUCCAAGGCAGGAGCCUACGGCUGAGCUGCGUGUGACCCAGGGGCCCAGGGCCCUCGGCAAAGGCAGGGUGGGCGGGGCCCGUGGUGUGUCACACUCCAGGCUGAGCCAGUCUCCUGUUCAGGGCUCGGUGUCUUGGGUUCACCAUGGCCCUAAACACAGGCCUCUGCCUCCGUGGUGCUCACAGAAAGCCCAGGACCAGCGGGAGAGCAGCGCCGCGGGCACCUCCACGUCUCCACCGCCGGGCACCGCUCCCACCUGAGCUGCGCCCGCACACGUCUGCGACCUGCCCCUCCACACCUGGGAGGCCAGCGGCCCAGGUGUAGCCCGAGCUGCUGGCUCCUGGUCCCCGCAGCCUCUGCAGAGAGCCCGCCACCCAGGCUCGCGCGUGUUGUGGCAGGUGCGGGCGGCGAGCCUCUCUUCAGCUAACACGCCUCGCGCUGGCUCAACCCUUCACCCGCUGACGGACGGCUGAGCUGCUUCCGCCCUUCGGCUGUUAUGGACGAUGCUGCCACAGACAGGGUUCGCGCACUGGGGACCUGGGAGCGGGAGCCCUGGGGAUGCUGUGUUCCACCUUUGAGGAAGCAUCACCCUGGCUUCCCCAGCAGCAGGGGGGACCCCGACUUCCCAUGUCCUCGCCCACACUUGUCACUGCCUGGUGUUUUCACUCUGCCCAGCAGCCAGAGAGGAAGCUGUGGCUCUCAGGCUGCCCAAGAGGGACACUAGGUCUAGACACCGAGCCCUCUCCUUUCAGCCUGCCUGUCCCCACCUGGGGCCUCCUGGCCAGUGUGAAGGCGACGGGGCACAGGGGUCCCAGGGUCCAGCCACGAUUGCCCAGCACCUGCUCAGCACAGGGCCUGGGACGCACAAUAAAUAAUAAAAUGAUAAGAUUAAAUGAAAUA